This 489-nucleotide ribosomal RNA is filed under the name uncultured Sphingobacteriales bacterium. Its description in RNAcentral is "bacterial SSU rRNA". It matches the Rfam family "Bacterial small subunit ribosomal RNA", at positions 904 to 1382 of the family's 1533-position model. Lineage: Bacteria; Pseudomonadati; Bacteroidota; Sphingobacteriia; Sphingobacteriales. The record is from RNAcentral.
CCCGCUCAGAAACUCAAGGAAUUGACGGGGCCCGCACAAGCGGUGAGCAUGUGGUUUAAUUCGAUGAUACGCGAGGAACCUUACCUGGGCUCAAAUGUAUGUUGACGUAUUCUGAAAGGGAUACUUCUUCGGACAAUAUACAAGGUGCUGCAUGGUUGUCGUCAGCUCGUGCCGUGAGGUGUCGGGUUAAGUCCCAUAACGAGCGCAACCCCUAUCAUUAGUUGCCAUCAGGUUAAGCUGGGGACUCUAAAGGAACUGCCUACGCAAGUAGUGAGGAAGGCGGGGAUGACGUCAAAUCAGCACGGCCCUUACGUCCAGGGCUACACACGUGCUACAAUGGCCGAUACAGAGGGCAGCUACCUGGUGACAGGAUGCAAAUCUCCAAAGUCGGUCUCAGUUCGGAUCGGAGUCUGCAACCCGACUCCGUGAAGUUGGAUUCGCUAGUAAUCGCGCAUCAGCCAUGGCGCGGUGAAUACGUUCCCGGGCCUU